AGUUUUAUAGUCAAUAUUUAUGAUUUUAAAUUGCAAAUUUAAAGUAGUUGUUAAACUAAAACUU
Molecule: transfer RNA, 64 nt
Filed under: Ceraclea indistincta
Lineage: Eukaryota; Metazoa; Arthropoda; Insecta; Trichoptera; Leptoceridae
Description: tRNA-Cys
Source: RNAcentral